AUCAUUUCCCUUUCCUCAUUCUUUUCCACCAUUCGCUCAUCUUUUACAAUAUCCCACACUUCAAAAUUCUAAAACUUUCGAAAUUAUUUUUUUACUCAGAAUCUUCAUAAACUUGAAGGACAAUCAAAUUGAUGUUCUAUCUUUUGUUAAUUUGUAUCAUUAAUUUCAUAUAUUGGAUGAAUUGUAAUUGACUUGGUGUUUUUUUUUUGUAAUUUAUCGGGAAAAAACUGUGGAAAUCGUGAACACCGACUCAUGUAGGUGGCAGCCAUGGUGACCACAAGUGAAGGAGUGUGCACGCCCAAUGGCCACCAGCUGGUGCUGGCAUGCGUCCAUGGCGGAUGCGAGUGAAAGAAAGAAGACGACCAUGCGGUGGACGCAAAUGGGAUUAUCAUGUUUGGACACGAGUUUGUAGAUUUUUUAAUUCAAAUAUAAUAAUUGUUUUUUUACAUUUAAUAAAUGUAUAAUAAUG
This 469-nucleotide long non-coding RNA is filed under the name Erythranthe guttata (spotted monkey flower). RNAcentral's name for it is "long non-coding RNA (EGUT_LNC002834)". Lineage: Eukaryota; Viridiplantae; Streptophyta; Magnoliopsida; Lamiales; Phrymaceae. The record is from RNAcentral.